This 119-nucleotide ribosomal RNA is filed under the name Saimiri boliviensis boliviensis (Bolivian squirrel monkey). The record is from RNAcentral. Lineage: Eukaryota; Metazoa; Chordata; Mammalia; Primates; Cebidae.
AGGUACAGCCAUAGCUCCCUGAACGCACCUGAUCUUGUCUGAUCUCAGAAGCUAAGCAGGGUCUGGCCUGGUUAGUACUUGGAUGGGAGGCUGCAUGGGAAUACCAGGUGUUGUAGGCU